UUGAGAGUUUGAUCCUGGCUCAGGAUGAACGCUAGCUACAGGCUUAACACAUGCAAGUCGAGGGGCAGCGAGGUUGAAGCUUGCUUCAACUGUCGGCGACCGGCGCACGGGUGAGUAACACGUAUCCAACCUGCCUUCCACUCGGGAAUAGCCUUUCGAAAGAAAGAUUAAUGCCCGAUGGUACGGAAUUCUCGCAUGAGAGUUCCUUUAAAGAAUUUCGGUGGAAGAUGGGGAUGCGUUCCAUUAGGCAGUUGGCGGGGUAACGGCCCACCAAACCUACGAUGGAUAGGGGUUCUGAGAGGAAGGUCCCCCACAUUGGAACUGAGACACGGUCCAAACUCCUACGGGAGGCAGCAGUGAGGAAUAUUGGUCAAUGGACGAGAGUCUGAACCAGCCAAGUAGCGUGAAGGAUGACUGCCCUAUGGGUUGUAAACUUCUUUUAUACGGGAAUAAAGUGAGGCACGUGUGCCUUUUUAUAUGUACCGUAUGAAUAAGGAUCGGCUAACUCCGUGCCAGCAGCCGCGGUAAUACGGAGGAUCCGAGCGUUAUCCGGAUUUAUUGGGUUUAAAGGGAGCGUAGGCGGAAUUUUAAGUCAGCUGUGAAAGUUUGCGGCUCAACCGUAAAAUUGCAGUUGAUACUGGAGUUCUUGAGUGCGGUAAAGGCAGGCGGAAUUCGUGGUGUAGCGGUGAAAUGCUUAGAUAUCACGAAGAACUCCUAUUGCGAAGGCAGCUUGCUGGACCGUAACUGACGCUGAUGCUCGAAAGUGCGGGUAUCAAACAGGAUUAGAUACCCUGGUAGUCCGCACAGUAAACGAUGAAUACUCGCUGUUGGCGAUAUACAGUCAGCGGCCAAGCGAAAGCAUUAAGUAUUCCACCUGGGGAGUACGCCGGCAACGGUGAAACUCAAAGGAAUUGACGGGGGCCCGCACAAGCGGAGGAACAUGUGGUUUAAUUCGAUGAUACGCGAGGAACCUUACCCGGGCUUGAAUUGCUUCUGAAUAAUCUGGAAACAGGUUAGCCGCAAGGCAGAAGUGAAGGUGCUGCAUGGUUGUCGUCAGCUCGUGCCGUGAGGUGUCGGCUUAAGUGCCAUAACGAGCGCAACCCUCAUCUCCAGUUGCCAUCAGGUCAUGCUGGGAACUCUGGAGAGACUGCCGUCGUAAGAUGUGAGGAAGGUGGGGAUGACGUCAAAUCAGCACGGCCCUUACGUCCGGGGCUACACACGUGUUACAAUGGGGGGUACAGAAGGCAGCUACCUGGCGACAGGAUGCUAAUCCCGAAAGCCUCUCUCAGUUCGGACUGGAGUCUGCAGCCCGACUCCACGAAGCUGGAUUCGCUAGUAAUCGCGCAUCAGCCAUGGCGCGGUGAAUACGUUCCCGGGCCUUGUACACACCGCCCGUCAAGCCAUGAAAGCCGGGGGUACCUGAAGUGCGUAACCGUAAGGAGCGUCCUAGGGUAAAACUGGUAAUUGGGGCUAAGUCGUAACAAGGUAGCCGUA
RNAcentral lists this ribosomal RNA (1494 nucleotides) under uncultured bacterium. RNAcentral's name for it is "16S ribosomal RNA". It matches the Rfam family "Bacterial small subunit ribosomal RNA". The record is from RNAcentral.